Molecule: ribosomal RNA, 802 nt
Filed under: uncultured Pseudomonadota bacterium
Lineage: Bacteria; Pseudomonadati; Pseudomonadota
Description: bacterial SSU rRNA
Rfam family: Bacterial small subunit ribosomal RNA
Source: RNAcentral
AAUGAACGUUGGCGGCGUGCCUAACACAUGCAAGUCGAGCGAGAAAGCUCCUUCGGGAGCAAGUAAAGCGGCGAACGGUUGAGUAACACGUGAGAAUCUGCCCUUCAGUGAAGAAUACCUUUGAGAAAUCGAAGUUAAUGCUGCAUAAUCCCCCUUGGGGGCAAAGGUGGCCUCUUUGCUACCGCUGAAGGAUGAGCUUGCGGCCUAUCAGCUUGUUGGUGAGGUAAAAGCUUACCAAGGCUAUGACGGGUAGCCGGCCUGAGAGGGUGGUCGGCCAGACUGGAACUUAGACACGGUCCAGACUCCUACGGGGGGCAGCAGUGGGGAAUCUUGCGCAAUGGGCGAAAGCCUGACGCAGCGACGCCGCGUGGAGGAUGAAGGUCUUCGGAUUGUAAACUUCUGUUAAGUGGGAAGAAAUAGUCAUGUCAAAUAAACAUGAAAGAUGACGGUACCAUUAGAGAAAGCACCGGCUAAUCUCGUGCCAGCAGCCGCGGUAAUACGAGAGGUGCAAACGUUAUUCGGAAUUACUGGGCGUAAAGGGUGCGUAGACGGCGUAGCAAGUCCGUUGUUAAAUUUUCCGGCCCAACCGGAAGUCAGCAAUGGAAACUGCAAUGCUAGAGGUUAGAAGAGAGAAGUGGAAUUCUCGGAGUAGCGGUAAAAUGCGUAGAUAUCGAGAGGAACACCGAUGGCGAAAGCAGCUUCUUGGUCUAGCCUGACGUUGAGGCACGAAAGCGUGGGUAGCAAACAGGAUUAGAUACCCUGGUAGUCCACGCCGUAAACGAUGAUCACUAAACGUUGGUUC